RNAcentral lists this ribosomal RNA (459 nucleotides) under uncultured bacterium. RNAcentral describes it as "partial 16S ribosomal RNA". It matches the Rfam family "Bacterial small subunit ribosomal RNA", at positions 339 to 795 of the family's 1533-position model. The record is from RNAcentral.
CUACGGGGGGCACCAGUGAGGAAUAUUGGGCAAUGGAGGCAACUCUGACCCAGCCAUGCCGCGUGCAGGAAGACGGCCCUCUGGGUUGUAAACUGCUUUUGUUUGGGGAUAAACCCUUCUACGUGUAGAAGGCUGAAGGUACCUUACGAAUAAGGAUCGGCUAACUCCGUGCCAGCAGCCGCGGUAAUACGGAGGAUCCAAGCGUUAUCCGGAUUUAUUGGGUUUAAAGGGUCCGUAGGCGGAUCUUUAAGUCAGUGGUGAAAGCCCACAGCUCAACUGUGGAACUGCCAUUGAUACUGGAGAUCUUGAGUGUAGUAGAAGUAGGCGGAAUAGGGCAUGUAGCGGUGAAAUGCAUAGAUAUGCCCUAGAACACCGAUUGCGAAGGCAGCUUACUAUGUUACAACUGACGCUGAGGGACGAAAGCGUGGGGAGCAAACAGGAUUAGAUACCCUCGUAGUC